AUUGAACGCUGGCGGCAGGCCUAACACAUGCAAGUCGAGCGGAUGAAGGGAGCUUGCUCCUGGAUUCAGCGGCGGACGGGUGAGUAAUGCCUAGGAAUCUGCCUGGUAGUGGGGGAUAACGUCCGGAAACGGGGGCUAAUACCGCAUACGUCCUGAGGGAGAAAGUGGGGGAUCUUCGGACCUCACGCUAUCAGAUGAGCCUAGGUCGGAUUAGCUAGUUGGUGGGGUAAAGGCCUACCAAGGCGACGAUCCGUACAUGGUCUGAGAGGAUGAUCAGUCACACUGGAACUGAGACACGGUCCAGACUCCUACGGGAGGCAGCAGUGGGGAAUAUUGGACAAUGGGCGAAAGCCUGAUCCAGCCAUGCCGCGUGUGUGAAGAAGGUCUUCGGAUUGUAAAGCACUUUAAGUUGGGAGGAAGGGCAGUAAGUUAAUACCUUGCUGUUUUGACGUUACCAACAGAAUAAGCACCGGCUAACUUCGUG
This 484-nucleotide ribosomal RNA is filed under the name uncultured bacterium. RNAcentral describes it as "partial 16S ribosomal RNA". It matches the Rfam family "Bacterial small subunit ribosomal RNA", at positions 30 to 507 of the family's 1533-position model. The record is from RNAcentral.